Molecule: transfer RNA, 76 nt
Filed under: Alphaproteobacteria bacterium
Lineage: Bacteria; Pseudomonadati; Pseudomonadota; Alphaproteobacteria
Description: tRNA-Thr
Rfam family: tRNA
About the family: Transfer RNA (tRNA) molecules are approximately 80 nucleotides in length. Their secondary structure includes four short double-helical elements and three loops (D, anti-codon, and T loops). Further hydrogen bonds mediate the characteristic L-shaped molecular structure. tRNAs have two regions of fundamental functional importance: the anti-codon, which is responsible for specific mRNA codon recognition, and the 3' end, to which the tRNAs corresponding amino acid is attached (by aminoacyl-tRNA synthetases). tRNAs cope with the degeneracy of the genetic code in two manners: having more than one tRNA (with a specific anti-codon) for a particular amino acid; and 'wobble' base-pairing, i.e. permitting non-standard base-pairing at the 3rd anti-codon position.
Source: RNAcentral
GCCGGCUUAGCUCAGCUGGUAGAGCACCCGCCUUGUAAGCGGAAGGUCGUCAGUUCGAUUCUGACAGCCGGCACCA